UGAGUCCUUAAAACCUCUUCAAA
Molecule: transfer RNA, 23 nt
Filed under: Pristimantis sp. SBH-2008
Lineage: Eukaryota; Metazoa; Chordata; Amphibia; Anura; Strabomantidae
Description: partial tRNA-Phe
Source: RNAcentral